AGAACUGUGCAACCCACGCAGAACCCUCAGCCCAGUGCCCACCCAGCUCAGCAGCCCUGGAGACCUCCCUCAAGGACCCAGGCAGCUUCCCACCGGGAGCCACAGCUGGGUGGGCAUGUGGGCCCCAGCCUCGUCUCCACUAACUCAUGCAGACUUGCAAGCCUCUUCUCCCUCCGUGCACUGCAGGUGUCUCACUUCAAAGUGGGGAUUAGCACCAGCGGACCCCGGGCACCUGGGCAAGGUGCGUGAGAAGGGGCUCACACCACGGAGAGCCCUCGGGGGCGGUCGCUGCAUCACUGUCUUGCUAUUAUUUUGCAAAACUGGAAGUUUCGCCAGUAAUGCCAGCUCGAGGAGAGGGCAGAUCCCAAGAAGACUCUAAAGGGUGCCUUCCCUGGACAUCUAUUAGCCCAAAGCCACCAGGACCUCAGCUGAGCCGGAGUGGUUUUCCCACACCGAAGGCCAGGGUUGGGGCUCGCCAAGGCGACUCCAGGAGCUCCACGUCUUCAGAAACUCCAGAUUCACAAGGACUCACUGAAGACCUGCCAUGUGCCCGGCACU
This 558-nucleotide long non-coding RNA is filed under the name Homo sapiens (human). RNAcentral describes it as "HSALNT0215712". Lineage: Eukaryota; Metazoa; Chordata; Mammalia; Primates; Hominidae. The record is from RNAcentral.